This 273-nucleotide ribosomal RNA is filed under the name Triticum aestivum (bread wheat). RNAcentral describes it as "partial small subunit ribosomal RNA". The record is from RNAcentral. Lineage: Eukaryota; Viridiplantae; Streptophyta; Magnoliopsida; Poales; Poaceae.
AUGGGCCAGAUCCAGUACUCCGAGAAGUACUUCGACGACACCUUCGAGUACAGGCACGUCGUCCUCCCGCCGGAAGUCGCCAAGCUCCUCCCCAAGAACCGCCUCCUCGCCGAGAACGAGUGGCGCGCGCUGGGCGUGCAGCAGAGCCGUGGGUGGGUGCACUACGCCGUCCACCGGCCGGAGCCGCACAUCAUGCUGUUCCGCCGCCCGCUCAACUACCAGCAGCAGCAGGACGCGGCGGCCGCCGCCGCGGCGCAGAUGAUGCCCAAGUGA